GGGUGAUCUGACUGAGACAUCUGUCACCCCAUUGAUCGCCAGGGCUGAUCUGGCUGACCUGGCUGGCUAGGCAGGUGUCCCCCUGUUUCAUGUGCGUCCCUCCCUAAGCUGCACGCUCGGUGGAAGAGGAAGACCAUCCCAGAUAGGAGUGUACCGUUCUUUGGUCAAGGCUUGAUGAUAGCUGCGCUCCCUGUAUAGAUAGAACCUCCCUCUGUAAUGCAGGAAUCUCAGCUAAAUUAUUUCAGCUACAUAGUUUGUGAGA
RNAcentral lists this small nuclear RNA (262 nucleotides) under Podarcis lilfordi (Lilford's wall lizard). RNAcentral's name for it is "7SK RNA". It matches the Rfam family "7SK RNA". From Rfam's summary of the family: 7SK was discovered as an abundant small nuclear RNA in the mid-70s but a possible function has only recently been suggested. Two independent studies have found that 7SK RNA binds the CDK9/cyclin T complex (known as elongation factor P-TEFb). P-TEFb activates transcription by phosphorylating the C-terminal domain of RNA polymerase II. The record is from Rfam by way of RNAcentral. Lineage: Eukaryota; Metazoa; Chordata; Lepidosauria; Squamata; Lacertidae.